Molecule: non-coding RNA, 86 nt
Organism: Stomoxys calcitrans (stable fly)
Lineage: Eukaryota; Metazoa; Arthropoda; Insecta; Diptera; Muscidae
Source: Rfam
CACAACUAUUUAUGAUGAUUUAUUUAGUAGGAAUCUCAUUGAUUUAAAACCAUGAAAAUAAUUUUACCAAAACUGAUGGAAUUACA